Molecule: small nucleolar RNA, 107 nt
Filed under: Citrus sinensis (sweet orange)
Lineage: Eukaryota; Viridiplantae; Streptophyta; Magnoliopsida; Sapindales; Rutaceae
Description: Plant small nucleolar RNA R71
Rfam family: Plant small nucleolar RNA R71
About the family: R71 is a member of the C/D box family of snoRNAs containing the C (UGAUGA) and D (CUGA) box motifs. Multiple nearly identical copies of this snoRNA have been identified in Arabidopsis, and it is thought to function as a 2'-O-ribose methylation guide for 18S ribosomal RNA.
Source: Rfam by way of RNAcentral
AGCACAUGGUGAGGGCAUUUUCUCAAUAAAUCCUUAAAUUUUUCUUAUGUUUCAUACAAAGACUCUAUGUCAUGCUAAGUAAAAGUAUUGAUUUCAUUCCUCAUUCU